UACGAAGGGGGCUAGCGUUGCUCGGAAUCACUGGGCGUAAAGCGCACGUAGGCGGAUUGCUAAGUCAGGGGUGAAAUCCUGGAGCUCAACUCCAGAACUGCCUUUGAUACUGGCGAUCUUGAGUCCGGGAGAGGUGAGUGGAACUCCGAGUGUAGAGGUGAAAUUCGUAGAUAUUCGGAAGAACACCAGUGGCGAAGGCGGCUCACUGGCCCGGUACUGACGCUGAGAUACGAAAGCGUGGGGAGCAAACAGG
Molecule: ribosomal RNA, 253 nt
Filed under: uncultured bacterium
Lineage: Bacteria
Description: partial 16S ribosomal RNA
Rfam family: Bacterial small subunit ribosomal RNA
Source: RNAcentral